Molecule: ribosomal RNA, 174 nt
Filed under: uncultured bacterium
Lineage: Bacteria
Description: partial 16S ribosomal RNA
Rfam family: Bacterial small subunit ribosomal RNA
Source: RNAcentral
ACUCCUACGGGAGGCAGCAGUGGGGAAUUUUGCACAAUGGAGGAAACUCUGAUGCAGCGAUGCCGCGUGAGUGAAGAAGGCCUUUGGGUUGUAAAGCUCUUUUGUAGGGGAAGAUAAUGACUGUACCCUAAGAAUAAGGUCCGGCUAACUUCGUGCCAGCAGCCGCGGUAAUAC